This 317-nucleotide long non-coding RNA is filed under the name Prunus dulcis (almond). Its description in RNAcentral is "sRNA ncRNA". The record is from RNAcentral. Lineage: Eukaryota; Viridiplantae; Streptophyta; Magnoliopsida; Rosales; Rosaceae.
AUGACUAGGGAAUGAGUUGCUGGGAUGAUGUUUCAGUGUGUGUUGGAAGGAAUCCUGUCAAUGCGGGACUCUGAAAUUGAGCGAAGGCCUUACCAUAAGAACUGCAGUUGCGCUCUCCACAGGUCCGAGGGGGAUGUUUGCUCCAAUGCUUGUCAAGGGAACAUUUCCUUUCCCAAGAAACGAUCAUGGAGUGACGGUUCCUUGUGCAUGCACGCAGCGGCUUCUUCCAGAUUCUCUUCUCCUCUCGUAGACGACAUGUCCACGUCCACAGGAAACAGAGGAAGUGUGAAUGGGGUUCAUAAUUCUGCCUUGUCACA